This is a long non-coding RNA of Harmonia axyridis, 779 nucleotides long. RefSeq lists it as uncharacterized. Lineage: Eukaryota; Metazoa; Arthropoda; Insecta; Coleoptera; Coccinellidae. The transcript is spliced from 4 exons. The record is from RefSeq and is a predicted model, not a curated record.
UGUUUAUCAGGGUGCAGUCUGGCAAUCUGUUUUUUGUUCGACCGUCUCGCGCAGUCACCUGUUACCUACUUAAGUUUGCGAUCUAAGAAGUCUGUGCUUUUGUGUCUUCUAAUGCAUUUCGCGGUAAUUUUGUUGAGAGUGACGAAUGAGUGAGCUUUGUUGAAGAGGAUUUUUCAACAAAAAAAGUAAUGGCUGAUGGAUAUUUGUAUUAUGUUAGAGCAGAAGUCUUCAAUUCCCACUGAUCUUAAUUCUUACUUUUUGAGAAAGUUUGAGAAAAAUAAAAAAACGAACUGGAUCUGAUGAAAAAUAAUGGCUAUGGAUAUUUGUAUUAUGAUGGAGCAUAAAACUACAAUUCUAACUGAUGGUAAUUCUUCCUUUUUGGUAUGAGUAUAUGAAAAGAAAAAACAAGAUGAAUUCGAGAUGAUGAAGUAAGAAGCUGAUGGUGAAUUCCUUGACAAUAACUCUCUUUUCGUUAAUAAGAACUUUCCGAACCAAUUCCAACUACCUCGUUAGUGCUACCGAGUCCAUCAUUUCCAACAGGUCUGCAAAUGGAUGCUUUUAUGGCAUGAACGUCAUGAACCUUCAUAAUUGAAUAGACCAACUUUUCCCAUCAGUGAAUUUCGGAACAGACCGAAUCGAAUUUUAUUCAGCACUCGAAACUAAUGAGGCAGAAACGAUCGAAAAGCAGUCCGCACAUAGAAUACAGUUUCAUCUUCUUAAUUGCUGCUCUAAUUAUCAUUUGCAACGCGACACUAUCCAGGGCUGCAACUAAACUCCAG